AUUUAAUAAAAAUUAAAAUGUUUUAGUAAUAAUAGGUUUUCAUUAUAUUAAUUUCUGUCAUUUAUUUAACAAAAUAAAAAAAUUACAAAUGCAAUUUUUUUUUUUUUUUUCUUAUUUAAUAGUAAUUCUUAUUUAAAUGCUUACAAUAAUAAAAAAAAAAAAAAAAGUACAAAAUAGUUACACGUUUGUAUCUGUUUGAAACGUUACACAUUGUUUAUGAGAAAAAAAGGCAAAUUUUCAUAUUAACUCAAACGUUUUAAGUUACAUUGAUGUAUAUAGUAAAAAAAAAAAAAGAAAAAAAGGUAGCGCACAAACACAUGUUAUAUAUAUAUUUACAUUAAUGAAGUAAAGGCCUAGUAUGAAUUUUUUUUUAUAAGAUUAUGGAUGAUUUAGAAUUAAAAGCACUUGGAAGAAUCCAUACUUAUUUUAAAGAAUAUUUAGAUAGUAAAGCUUGUACUAAUUCUAUAUCAUUAGAAGCGGGUCUUGAAAAAAGUGAUUUACAAACUGCUCAUAAUGCACUAAAAAAAUAUAUAUUAAGAUUAAAAAAUAUAAAUGAUUUUAUAAAACAAGAAAAUUAUUUUUUAAAAAAGAAAAAUGAAGAAAUAAUUAAUAAGCAAAACUAUGACAAGGCCUUAAAUACUAUAUCUGAAAACACAAAUAAAAUACAUGCACAACAUCGAAAUGAAAUAAAUCAAUUAAAUAGUGAAAAUGAUUUUUUCAAAUAUAAAUUUGAAAAAUUGUUGAGAAAAAAAUUGAGUUUAGAAAGAAAUAAUAAAGAAUUAAACGACGCAUUGUUAAAUAGGGGUAGUAAUAAUAAUAAUAAUUACUUAUUAAAUGAAAAUGGAGAAAAUGAGAAAUCACAAAUAAAAACUAACACAUUAUCGCAUAACGCAUUAACAGAAUUGUCCGAGUUAUGUCAAAAGAAUGAACAAAACAUGAUUGAUGAUUAUUGUCACAACACAAAAAACUACAACUUAAAUAACAAUAAUGAUAUUAAUCAAAUUAUGUUUAAAAACAGAACUGAAAAUAUUUUUAAAUGUACAAAUAUACUAGAAGAUUUAUUACAUAUUAUAAAUGGUAGUGUCAAAUAUAAGGAUCCACAUAUGUUUCAAAAGUAUAUU
Molecule: long non-coding RNA, 1121 nt
Filed under: Piliocolobus tephrosceles (Ugandan red Colobus)
Lineage: Eukaryota; Metazoa; Chordata; Mammalia; Primates; Cercopithecidae
Description: lncRNA (ENSPTEG00000014354.1)
Source: RNAcentral